Molecule: ribosomal RNA, 429 nt
Filed under: Heterosigma akashiwo
Lineage: Eukaryota; Raphidophyceae; Chattonellales; Chattonellaceae
Description: partial Bacterial small subunit ribosomal RNA
Rfam family: Bacterial small subunit ribosomal RNA
Source: RNAcentral
ACGGAGGGAGCUAGCGUUGUUCGGAAUUACUGGGCGUAAAGCGCACGUAGGCGGCUUUUUAAGUCAGGGGUGAAAUCCCGGGGCUCAACCCCGGAACUGCCCUUGAAACUGGGAAGCUAGAAUCUUGGAGAGGCGAGUGGAAUUCCGAGUGUAGAGGUGAAAUUCGUAGAUAUUCGGAGGAACACCAGUGGCGAAGGCGGCUCACUGGCUCGAUACUGACGCUGAGGUGCGAAAGUGUGGGGAGCAAACAGGAUUAGAUACCCUGGUAGUCCACACCGUAAACGAUGAAUGCCAGACGUCGGGGGGCUUGCCCUUCGGUGUCACACCUAACGGAUUAAGCAUUCCGCCUGGGGAGUACGGUCGCAAGAUUAAAACUCAAAGGAAUUGACGGGGGCCCGCACAAGCGGUGGAGCAUGUGGUUUAAUUCGA